AAAUGUUAAAAUUCAUCUAAUUUUCGUUUCAUAUGAAGUAAUGCCCCUUUGAUUACCAAAAUUAUUAAAAAAAAAAUUCUUUUACCAUAAAUUAUAAGUGUAAACACAAUAAAAAAUCUGUUGAAAUAAUCUCAAUAGGUAUGCCAACAUCAUCAUCAUCAUCAUUUUUCAUCUCAUUUUGCAUGCUUAAUAGAUUGUAUGGGUCUUCUCCAACAUAGUAUCUCUCCACUUUCGUCAUCUCAUUUAUGAGGUUCAGUCUCCUAAGAUUGACCUUCACUACUACUUCAUGUGUCUUCCUUGGUCUUCCUUUUCCACAGGUUCAUUUCACUUGACACUUCUUUAUGCAAGUGUAUCAUGUCCUCCCUGAAUCAGUUUUCUGUCUGGUACACUAAAUCUAAUUCUUCUUGUACCAUGUUUUUUUUCUUAUUUUUUUUUUGUUCUAAGCUUAUUUGUGCUUCAUCUUUCAUAUACACUAACAUUACACAUUUAAUGGAGUGUAUUCACCUCAUUUUUUUCCCUUUUUGGCAGCCUUCAUUCAUUUUUUUUACACUCUCUGCUCAUAUUUUAUUAUAAUCAUCAUAAAUGCAAGUCUACUUUUCCAUGCUGGCAUGAGUUGUGUGGUUUUACUGGGACAAUGUUUUAUGGCUGGAUGCCCUGUCUGUUAUCCUACAGACCCUACAGCAUCUCUUGUCCACUCAUAGUUUAAAUGGGUAGAUUAUACGGUAUCUUACCUAAUCUUUUUCUAUAUAUUGAGUAUGGACACUUCCAGCCAACUAUGACUUUUGUUUUUUCUGAGUUUAUUUUAAGAUUUCUUGAUUCUAGGCUUUGUUUCCAUAUUUGGAAUUUCUUCUCUAAUCCUUUGACAGAUUCAGCUAUGAGAACUCAGUCAUUGGCAUACAGAAGUUCCUUAUGUAUUGCCUGUCUUUAACUUGUCUGUUAUUGUCUUGGGAACAAUAAUAAACAAGAUAGGGUUGAGAACCAAGCUCUGAUGGUCACCCAUCUGAAUGCUAAAUUCCUUGUUGAACUUAUUACUAACUCUAACUUUGCAAAUAGUAUCUUUUUACAUGGGUUUCCCAAGCCAUUCAUCAAUUCUUAGUGACCACCAGACACACAAUAUGGUAUCCUAAUACACACUGACAUUACUUUGUUGUCUGGAACAUCUCAUACUUCUAUUCUUUAAAUCAUAGAACACUGGGAAACCUCUUACUUUCUGCUUCUUUUGCUAAGUUUACCUAACAACUAAUAUCAUUUGCUACCUACAUCAUAUUGGUCCUUCCUCUCCUUUUCUUCCAAGUCUAUCUUGUGGUUUUUAUGGUCCUACCAUACCAAUCCACUACCAUAUCAUCUUCCAUCUAGCUGGAACCAGAUCUGGUCUGUGGUUUGCAAAAAGUUUUCUUUGAGAAAAUCUGAUUAUUUUUAUUAUGUUAUAGGUUUGUAUCUUCUUGACGUAUGCACCACCAUGUACUUCUAUGAAUGUAUUGUUUCGAUAUUUUCCUUCUCCAAAUUAUUUUGUGUCUCUGGAUCUGUUUUACUCUGAUACCAUAAAUCACUGUCCCAUAUUGAGUGGUAAUUCUUCAUCAGUAAAAGACUUGCUCUUUAUGACCGUCUGUCUAUCUUAUUUCCUUGGUGCAUCUGAUUUAUGCCUUCAUUUAAGUGUUAGCAAUCAGGUUGAUGGGCUAUCUCCUGAGAGUUUGUUCUACAAACGUUUAAGUCAUUUUGCAUCAUAGAACUUCAAGAACCUUAAUCCCUCUCCCCGACCAUGUACAUUGAAGAAUUCAUCGCGAUGUUGUUCCUUUAGCACCUGAUAGUAAGAGAGUGAUCUCUGCUGAUGUUUCGGUAAUUUACCUAUUAUUCUUUCAACAAAGCAUCACAUAAACAAUUAUUAAUCAAAUUUAGUAAAACAAAUAUUACUCGAAUUUUGUACCAGAGACUACAAUGGUUGGUCCAAUAAACACGCAGAAAACAAACAUUAACCAUAGUGUUCAAAUGUGUGAUUAAAGGGAGUUAAAUCAGCUCUUUUUUGUGAGUUAUCUACCUUGGAUAUUAGCUCUUUUUUUUUUAUAUUAUUCCUUAUACUCACAACGGUUUAAGUAGUAAUAACUUUUUAUACAAGCUUUGCUCUUGGCAGGUAUUCAGGAGGAAAGGUAACGUAAUGUUAAAAAUUGCUUUUCUAUUGAUUUUAGUAAGUUAAUUGAUAACUGAUAUUAAUAUACCAAUAAUUUAUGUCUUUAAAAAAAGGAAACGUCACAUUAUUAGAUAUUAAUUAAUAAAUUUUUUCCCCUCGAUUAUCCCAAAUGUCUUCUAAAUGGCUUUUAUAUUGGGCAUAACUAUAUUUCGAUGCCCCUCGCCUUGACUUUGUUUAUUUUUUACAUACACGCACGCAUAUAUAUAUAUAUUUAUAUAUAUAUACACACACACACACACACACAAUUAAUUACACAAGCCCAUGCCCCCACACACACAUGUACACACCCCUCAUUUUAAGUAUUAGGUAAUUGUUUUAUUUAUUCACUAUAUUUUAUUUCACAUAAAUACAUGUUACAUACACACAUAUAUACACCAUAUUAUAAUAGAAAAACCUAAAGCAUAAAUUUGUCAUUUCUUUUAUUUCACAUCUAUUACAUUGGUAAUUGGUGAUGACAAAUUAUAAAUGUUGUUUCCAAAGUGCAUUCAAUAAGAUUGAACACACUUUAUAAAUCACAUUUAUAAUUUACCAUCAUUGAUUAUCCAUCACAGGAAUGCAUGAAAUAAAAGAAAUAGAAAAUUCAUGCUUGAUGUUUUUCUGCCAUACUAGAUGUGCUCUUCAUAUAAUGUAAUAAUAGUUCUAUAAUGGUGGCAUAGAACUUAACUGGGUUGUGCAGUUAAGUUCUAUUAAGAGCCACAAACAGUACAGUAAUUUUUUGCACACUUAGCACAUCCAUUUCCACUUAUAUGUAUAUAUUUCUGCGUAACAGAAACUUGAUAAAUGAGAGUCAAUGAAAUGUUAUUUAUGAAUUGGGGCUGAAUUUUGCAUUUCUUCUGUACCAAAGUGUUUAUUUUCUUGUUAAGGCACAAAAUCUCUUUGUAUUAACUAUUUGUGUGUAUUCAAGAGAAAGCGAGAGAGAGGAGCAGGGACAAGCAUAACAUGCUCUCCCUGUUUUCUCAUUUUAUUUUCCUUUCAAGUUUAAAAACUCUCCUAGGCCUUUUUUUUUUUUUAUUCAUUGUUAUUGUUGAUAUUUAGACAGAAGAAAUUGGAAAGCCCUAUUUGUUAUAUAGAAUUAUGAUUUGUAGCAAAGUUAUACACUGCACUCAUUGACAGCUUUAUAGCUUUUACACAGUUAAACAGGGGACUAUAACAAUUAUACAAGCAGAGUUAACAACAUUAUUACACAAGCAGAAAUAUAUAUUAUUGCAAUAUAUAUUAUUACACAAACAUGAAUAACAAAAGAGUCGCACAAACACUGACAUUAUACACAUGUAAUGCACAAAAAUAUGUAUAUGGUAACAAAAAAGUCUGUCUGACUUUGCAUGAUGUUUUUACGCUUAGAUCAGUUUUUCUCUCAUUUAACAUGCAUUAAAAUAUUUUUGAAAUUAUAUUGCUUUCUCCCUUUCCCCUCCAAAUGUGGCCAUUUUUCUCAGAAUGUUUUUAAUUUGAAAAUAUAUCCUACAUAGGUUUUUUUUCUGUUUUUGUUUUAAUGAUUUGUGAAAUUGUUUAUUACAAUGAAAUAUAUUUUACAGGUCUAAGAUAAAUUUAACAUAUCUAGAUCUAGUCUUAGUUACUAACUGUGGGAAGUAGCAGGUUUUCUGCAACCUCCUGCCUGAGGUUCAAACCUAGAAGGUUUAAUCUUUUGUGAUAGUCCCUUUUUUUCUUUUCAUUUUUAAUAUUUUGUUUUGUUCCUUUUCUAACACGAAAUAUAUAUUUUAAUUGUUUGUGUAAACUCUACAAAUUUUCAUAUUUGAACUUUAACGAAAAAUAGCAACUAUAAUAUCGAUUGUUAAUUUAUUUACAUUUUAAUUUUAUUUAUAUUUUGUAAAGAAUGUAAUCAUAAACAAAAUAUUGUUUGAUCUCUUUUUUGUAGAGGAAAAAAUGUAAAACCAACACAACAAUGAUAAUAGUAAUAAAACCAAACAAUUAACAAUAAAUAAAUGAAUAAAGUUACUUAAUUAAUGGGAUAUUACUACUCUGUAUAUCCAGAGUAAGUAUUUCAUUUAUUGGGUAACUUACUUUGCAUAAUUAUAUUGUAUAUUUUGCUAUAUUUUCUUCUGUUGUGACAAUGUCUUUGAUCUAAGGCAAAGAUGGUUAUUGAAUAAUCAUCAGCUAUAAUUGAGUAUUUUGUGUUUGUGAUAUUACUGUUGGUUUUUAGAAAAAAAAAAAUCCCUGGUCACAGGCCAAGAGCUUCGGAAUUUGUAACAGUUCCAUGAACUGUCAUUAGCGAUGACAUUUUUUUUAACAAGCAUAUAAUGAAUCAACCAUUAAUGAAUUAAAAAUUUGAGAAUAAUUUCUUCUCUAAA
This 4491-nucleotide long non-coding RNA is filed under the name Octopus vulgaris (common octopus). The record is from RNAcentral. Lineage: Eukaryota; Metazoa; Mollusca; Cephalopoda; Octopoda; Octopodidae.